UACGUAGGGGGCAAGCGUUGUCCGGAAUCAUUGGGCGUAAAGGGCUCGUAGGCGGCCAACUAAGUCGGAUGUGAAAUCCCCAGGCUUAACCUGGGAACUGCAUCCGAUACUGGAUGGCUUGAAUCCGGGAGAGGGAUGCAGAAUUCCAGGUGUAGCGGUGAAAUGCGUAGAUAUCUGGAGGAACACCGGUGGCGAAGGCGGCAUCCUGGACCAUAACUGACACUGAUAAGCGAAAGCCAGGGGAGCAAACGGG
This 253-nucleotide ribosomal RNA is filed under the name uncultured bacterium. RNAcentral describes it as "partial 16S ribosomal RNA". It matches the Rfam family "Bacterial small subunit ribosomal RNA", at positions 524 to 776 of the family's 1533-position model. The record is from RNAcentral.